Molecule: long non-coding RNA, 424 nt
Filed under: Paramuricea clavata
Lineage: Eukaryota; Metazoa; Cnidaria; Anthozoa; Malacalcyonacea; Plexauridae
Source: RNAcentral
AAAGAAUUUAAAGAUUCGCUGUUUCUUACUUGUUCAGGAAUGCUAUUCCAGAUUUUAACCCCACUAUAUCGAAAACAUUUUCUGCCAUACUCUGUAUUUGGUCGUGGCAGAAAGAGAGACGCAUUUGAACCUCGUAAAUUAUAACUGUGGAUAUGGUUAGAAUUCUGGAACAUUGAUGAGAACCUCGAUGGUGCCAAAUUAUUGACAACCUUAAACAUGAGACGGGCCAUAAUAUGUUUUCGCCUUUCUUCCAAGCUUAUCCACCCUAAUUGAUCGAGGGCCAGUUGAGAUUGCCCAGGCUCAUCUUUAAAGUUCAUUAUAAUUCUAGCACAUCUGUUGUGAAGUUUUUGUAGUCGUUCAGACUGGCCUCUAUUAAUGGAAUUCCAAACUUCACAACAGUAGUCGAAAUGGGGUUGGACAAGAC